RNAcentral lists this ribosomal RNA (500 nucleotides) under uncultured bacterium. Its description in RNAcentral is "partial 16S ribosomal RNA". It matches the Rfam family "Bacterial small subunit ribosomal RNA", at positions 29 to 523 of the family's 1533-position model. The record is from RNAcentral.
AUUGAACGCUGGCGGAAUGCUUUACACAUGCAAGUCGAACGGCAGCACGGGGGCAACCCUGGUGGCGAGUGGCGAACGGGUGAGUAAUACAUCGGAACGUGCCCAGUCGUGGGGGAUAACGUAGCGAAAGUUACGCUAAUACCGCAUACGAUCUACGGAUGAAAGCGGGGGACCGUAAGGCCUCGCGCGAUUGGAGCGGCCGAUGUCAGAUUAGGUAGUUGGUGAGGUAAAGGCUCACCAGGCCGACGAUCUGUAGCUGGUCUGAGAGGACGACCAGCCACACUGGGACUGAGACACGGCCCAGACUCCGACGGGAGGCAGCAGUGGGGAAUUUUGGACAAUGGGCGCAAGCCUGAUCCAGCCAUUCCGCGUGCAGGACGAAGGCCUUCGGGUUGUAAACUGCUUUUGUACGGAACGAAAAGGCUCUGGUUAAUACCUGGGGCUCAUGACGGUACCGUAAGAAUAAGCACCGGCUAACUGCGUGCCAGCCGCCGCCGUAA